Molecule: small nucleolar RNA, 71 nt
Organism: Erinaceus europaeus (western European hedgehog)
Lineage: Eukaryota; Metazoa; Chordata; Mammalia; Eulipotyphla; Erinaceidae
Product: small nucleolar RNA, C/D box 50B
Source: Ensembl
GAUCGAUGAUGAGGCUUACCCCGAAGCUGAUAUCCUGAAGAAAAGAAAGUUACGGAUUCGGCUUCUGAGAU